CCUACGGGAGGCAGCAGUGGGGAAUUUUGGACAAUGGGCGCAAGCCUGAUCCAGCAAUGCCGCGUGAGUGAAGAAGGCCUUCGGGUUGUAAAGCUCUUUUGUCAGGGAAGAAACGGUGGAGGCUAAUAUCCUUUGCUAAUGACGGUACCUAAAGAAUAAGCACCGGCUAACUACGUGCCAGCAGCCGCGGUAAUACGUAGGGUGCAAGCGUUAAUCGGAAUUACUGGGCGUAAAGCGUGCGCAGGCGGUUUUGUAAGUUUGUCGUGAAAUCCCCGGGCUCAACCUGGGAAUGGCGAUGAAGACUGCAAGGCUAGAAUCUGGCAGAGGGGGGUAGAAUUCCACGUGUAGCAGUGAAAUGCGUAGAGAUGUGGAGGAACACCGAUGGCGAAGGCAGCCCCCUGGGUCAAGAUUGACGCUCAUGCACGAAAGCGUGGGGAGCAAACAGGAUUAGAUACCCUGGUAGUCCACGCCCUAAACGAUGUCUACUAGUUGUCGGGUUUUAAUAACUUGGUAACGCAGCUAACGCGUGAAGUAGACCGCCUGGGGAGUACGGUCGCAAGNUUAAAACGUCAAAGGAUUGACGGCUUGAGNGNGCGAGCGACGACGAGGAGAGG
This 614-nucleotide ribosomal RNA is filed under the name uncultured bacterium. RNAcentral describes it as "bacterial SSU rRNA". It matches the Rfam family "Bacterial small subunit ribosomal RNA", at positions 338 to 945 of the family's 1533-position model. The record is from RNAcentral.